AGCCCAGAGCUUGGAACCACGGACUGGC
RNAcentral lists this non-coding RNA (28 nucleotides) under Cricetulus griseus (Chinese hamster). The record is from RNAcentral. Lineage: Eukaryota; Metazoa; Chordata; Mammalia; Rodentia; Cricetidae.